This 379-nucleotide ribosomal RNA is filed under the name uncultured Glomeromycotina. RNAcentral describes it as "LSU rRNA". The record is from RNAcentral. Lineage: Eukaryota; Fungi; Glomeromycota.
UUGAAAGGGAAACGAUUGAAGUCAGUCGUACUGACGGAAAAUCAGCUCUUCGAGUGCGAACUUGUGGGUAUACGUGAGCUCUAACCGGCCCCGUUGUUUGCGUUGUUUGUGCUUUUUGGGUGUACUUUUUCGUAUGGUUGGCCAACGUCAGUUUCGGUCACCAUAAAAUGAUUGGAGGAAUGUAGCUUCGAUCUUGUAUUGAAGUGUUAUAGCCUUUGGUAGAUGUAAUGAUCGAGAUCGAGGAUUGCAACGAAUACCCUUUUGGGCUAUCCGUCUGAUCUCUGAUACGUUGCCUCGGUAACGAAAGCGUGCUUACGGUAUUGAGGUAUUACGGUCAAAAGGUUAGAACGUGAUUACAUUCGUUAAGGAUGUUGACGUA